GAUGAAGAACGUAGCGAAAUGCGAUAAGUAAUGUGAAUUGCAGAAUUCAGUGAAUCAUCGAAUCUUUGAACGCACAUUGCGCCCGCCAGUAUUCUGGCGGGCAUGCCUGUUCGAGCGUCAUUUCAACCAUCAAGCCCCCGGGCUUGUGUUGGGGACCUGCGGCUGCCCGCAGGCCCUGAAAACCAGUGGCGGGCUCGCUGUCACACCGAGCGUAGUAGCAUCAUCUCGCUCAGGGCGUGCUGCGGGUUCCGGCCGUUAAAAAGCCUCUAAUACCCAAGGUUGACCUCGGAUCAGGUAGGAAGACCCGCUGAACUUAAGCAUAUCAAUAACGGAGGA
RNAcentral lists this unclassified non-coding RNA (336 nucleotides) under soil metagenome. RNAcentral's name for it is "partial contains 5.8S ribosomal RNA, internal transcribed spacer 2, and large subunit ribosomal RNA". The stretch from base 1 to 120 matches the Rfam family "5.8S ribosomal RNA", at positions 35 to 154 of the family's 154-position model. The record is from RNAcentral.